GGAGCUUGUGUGGAGGAUGGGAGGGCAGGCUCAGAUGGGAUUUUCUCAUCUACUGCUCCAGUUCACAUACUGCGAGGGAGAAGGAACUCAGUGAAUAUUGCCCUGGGUCCUGGUAAUUCCACCUACUGAAGACAACUGCCCCUUCUGCUCAUAUUUCCUGAGUCAACAUGGCCGUUCCUAACUUUGAAGAGACUUUAGACAUUCUUUGUUACAAUGAACCUAGAAGAAAGAAGAGAAAUAAUAACUGCCAUGGAAGGAUGCUCCUCCUGCCAAUUGGCACUUAUCAAUGACAUCGAGGGAGAGGGACAGAGUGCCUAGGUAUGAGCCUUCAUCAAGUGGUAUGAAGGCCCUACCCCAACAGAAAGUGCUGAUGUGAUGAAAUGGUGCUUUGGACAAGACUUUUCCUCCAAGUUGGUCCUAUCCAGGGGUUGGCAAACAGGGUCCCUGGACAUCAUCCAUGUGGCAUACUCUUAUGAAUAAAGUUCUAUAGGACACAGA
Molecule: long non-coding RNA, 498 nt
Filed under: Mus musculus (house mouse)
Lineage: Eukaryota; Metazoa; Chordata; Mammalia; Rodentia; Muridae
Description: POU domain, class 3, transcription factor 3 adjacent noncoding transcript 1
Source: RNAcentral